This 691-nucleotide ribosomal RNA is filed under the name Escherichia coli. RNAcentral's name for it is "bacterial SSU rRNA". It matches the Rfam family "Bacterial small subunit ribosomal RNA", at positions 800 to 1491 of the family's 1533-position model. The record is from RNAcentral. Lineage: Bacteria; Pseudomonadati; Pseudomonadota; Gammaproteobacteria; Enterobacterales; Enterobacteriaceae.
GAGGGUACGAAGUCGACUUGGAGGUUGUGCCCUUGAGGCGUGGCUUCCGGAGCUAACGCGUUAAGUCGACCGCCUGGGGAGUACGGCCGCAAGGUUAAAACUCAAAUGAAUUGACGGGGGCCCGCACAAGCGGUGGAGCAUGUGGUUUAAUUCGAUGCAACGCGAAGAACCUUACCUGGUCUUGACAUCCACGGAAGUUUUCAGAGAUGAGAAUGUGCCUUCGGGAACCGUGAGACAGGUGCUGCAUGGCUGUCGUCAGCUCGUGUUGUGAAAUGUUGGGUUAAGUCCCGCAACGAGCGCAACCCUUAUCCUUUGUUGCCAGCGGUCCGGCCGGGAACUCAAAGGAGACUGCCAGUGAUAAACUGGAGGAAGGUGGGGAUGACGUCAAGUCAUCAUGGCCCUUACGACCAGGGCUACACACGUGCUACAAUGGCGCAUACAAAGAGAAGCGACCUCGCGAGAGCAAGCGGACCUCAUAAAGUGCGUCGUAGUCCGGAUUGGAGUCUGCAACUCGACUCCAUGAAGUCGGAAUCGCUAGUAAUCGUGGAUCAGAAUGCCACGGUGAAUACGUUCCCGGGCCUUGUACACACCGCCCGUCACACCAUGGGAGUGGGUUGCAAAAGAAGUAGGUAGCUUAACCUUCGGGAGGGCGCUUACCACUUUGUGAUUCAUGACUGGGGUGAAGUCUCAA